RNAcentral lists this transfer RNA (87 nucleotides) under Methylophaga sp. 42_25_T18. RNAcentral describes it as "tRNA-Leu". It matches the Rfam family "tRNA". Rfam says of the family: Transfer RNA (tRNA) molecules are approximately 80 nucleotides in length. Their secondary structure includes four short double-helical elements and three loops (D, anti-codon, and T loops). Lineage: Bacteria; Pseudomonadati; Pseudomonadota; Gammaproteobacteria; Thiotrichales; Piscirickettsiaceae. RNAcentral also lists the same sequence under 3 other names. The record is from RNAcentral.
GCCGAUGUGGUGAAAUUGGUAGACACGCCAGCUUGAGGGGCUGGUUGGCGCAAGCCAGUAGCAGUUCGACUCUGCUCAUCGGCACCA